CGUAGGGUGCGAGCGUUGUCCGGAAUUAUUGGGCGUAAAGGGCUUGUAGGCGGUUUGUCGCGUCUGCUGUGAAAAUCCGAGGCUUAACCUCGGACUUGCAGUGGGUACGGGCAGACUAGAGUGUGGUAGGGAGACUGGAAUUCCUGGUGUAGCGGUGAAAUGCGCAGAUAUCAGGAGGAACACCGAUGGCGAAGGCAGGUCUCUGGGCCACUACUGACGCUGAGAAGCGAAAGCAUGGGAGCGAACAGGAUU
Molecule: ribosomal RNA, 252 nt
Filed under: uncultured bacterium
Lineage: Bacteria
Description: partial 16S ribosomal RNA
Rfam family: Bacterial small subunit ribosomal RNA
Source: RNAcentral